This 445-nucleotide ribosomal RNA is filed under the name uncultured bacterium. RNAcentral describes it as "partial 16S ribosomal RNA". It matches the Rfam family "Bacterial small subunit ribosomal RNA", at positions 330 to 792 of the family's 1533-position model. The record is from RNAcentral.
ACCAGACUCCUACGGGAGGCAGCAGUGGGGGAUAUUGCACAAUGGGCGCAAGCCUGAUGCAGCGACGCCGCGUGAGCGAAGAAGUAUUUCGGUAUGUAAAGCUCUAUCAGCAGGGAAGAAAAUGACGGUACCUGACUAAGAAGCUCCGGCUAAAUACGUGCCAGCAGCCGCGGUAAUACGUAUGGAGCAAGCGUUAUCCGGAUUUACUGGGUGUAAAGGGAGCGUAGACGGCCAGACAAGUCAGAAGUGAAAGCCCAGGGCUCAACCCUGGGACUGCUUUUGAAACUGCCGGGCUGGAGUGCAGGAGAGGUAAGCGGAAUUCCUAGUGUAGCGGUGAAAUGCGUAGAUAUUAGGAGGAACACCAGUGGCGAAGGCGGCUUACUGGACUGUAACUGACGUUGAGGCUCGAAAGCGUGGGGAGCAAACAGGAUUAGAUACCCCAGUA